Bombus impatiens (common eastern bumble bee) is the source of this 1012-nucleotide long non-coding RNA. RefSeq lists it as uncharacterized. The transcript has 3 exons. The record is from RefSeq and is a predicted model, not a curated record. Lineage: Eukaryota; Metazoa; Arthropoda; Insecta; Hymenoptera; Apidae.
GUAGUAAGUACGCGAACGUGUCGUGCAACUUCGAUUGUGGGAGAAAUUUCAGAACUGUUUCCUCCAAUACUAUUCUUUGCUUUAUCGUUAACGUUCUUAUGUACAUAAUAACAAUACAUAACUUAAUAUAAGCUCAACGUAACAACAAAGAUAAGCACGUGUAUAGGCCGAAAAUAUCAUAUAUGCAAAUAAAACAAUACAAAAGGUGGUAACUCAUGACGGUGAGAAUCGUUAGUCUUUGACGAUGAGUGAUAGAGUACAGUAUUUUCCUUGCCCAUGUGCUGUCCUGAAGUCUUGCGUCUUGACUACUCUUGAGUCCUGAUUACCAACUUACCAACAAUGCAUUACUAGAGGAUUUAAAGACAUGGUAUUAUAUACACGAUACAUAUAUGUAUAUGCAUAUAUAUACGUCAGGAACCAUUCUGAGACGAACACGGAAGAAGAUACAAUAUUCUAUUCUUUUCCCUUUACUAGAUUCAGAUUCCUAAAUAGAUAGAAUUUCUCUGUGAGACAUGUCUUUAGAUUCUUAUAUAGGUAGAAUACCUAUAUAAAAAAAUGGGAUUUGUGAAAUUAAAAUUUGUUUUAAAAACCUUUUUAGGACCGACGAAUAAAGACACACGAUAGACAAGAUAGACACAACAAAUUAGAUUUACUUUUAAGCAGAAUAUAUAUUAAUUAUUUAAUAUGUGGUUUAAUACACAAUUGAGUAUUUUUAAAUUUAUGAAUAGAUGAAAUAUUCUUAAAUCAUCAUCUUAACGCUUAAGUAGGCAUUUGGUAGGAGAACACUGAUUAAUACUACUAACUGUAAACGUUAAUAUGUGCCAUUUCUUAUAUGUGUAAGUAGGUGUACUUAGAUAACAUAUACUGUUAAUUGAGUGCGUCUAUAGUUAAGAAUAAUAUGUAUAGUGAUAAAGCAUACAAAGUAAUAUAAAGAAAAUGCAUAUGUAAGAAGCUAAGUAAGUAAUUAAGGAGGUUUAUUAUCCCGAAAUAGGAUACAUAUGUAUAUGUAGGA